UACGGAGGAUCCAAGCGUUAUCCGGAUUUAUUGGGUUUAAAGGGUGCGUAGGCGGAUUGAUAAGUUAGAGGUGAAAUGUCCGAGCUCAACUCGGGAACUGCCUCUAAUACUGUUGAUCUAGAGAGUAGAUGCGGUAGGCGGAAUGUAUGGUGUAGCGGUGAAAUGCAUAGAUAUCACGCAGAACUCCGAUUGCGAAGGCAGCAUACCGGCGCCCAACUGACGCUGAAGCACGAAAGCGUGGGUAUCGAACAGG
Molecule: ribosomal RNA, 253 nt
Filed under: uncultured Rikenellaceae bacterium
Lineage: Bacteria; Pseudomonadati; Bacteroidota; Bacteroidia; Bacteroidales; Rikenellaceae
Description: partial 16S ribosomal RNA
Rfam family: Bacterial small subunit ribosomal RNA
Source: RNAcentral